UGUCUUUUUGAAAAUAAUAUAAAGUCUAAUCUGCCCACUGAUUUAAUAAUUGAAGGGCUGCAGUAUAUUGACUGUACAAAGGUAGCAUAAUCAUUAGUCAUUUAAUUGAUGACUUGUAUGAAGGAUUGGAUGAAAUAUAAACUGUCUCUUGAUUAAAUAUAGAAUUUAAUUUUUUAAUUAAAAAGUUAAAAUAAUUUAAAAAGACGAGAAGACCCUAUAGAGUUUUAUAAAUAAAUUAAUUAAGAUUAUUUAUUAAGUUAAAAUUGAAAUUGGAGUAUUUAUUAUAUUGGGGUGAUAGAAAAAUAUGGUUAACUUUUUUUUAUAGGUAACAUAUAUAAGUGGUUAAAUGAUCCAAUAUUAUUGAUUAUAAGAAAAAAUUACCUUAGGGAUAACAGCGUAAUUUUUUUUUUUAGUUCAUAUAAGAAAAAGAGUUUGCGACCUCGAUGUUGGAUUAAGAUAAAAUUUAAAUGCAGAAG
Molecule: ribosomal RNA, 476 nt
Filed under: Sciomesa sp. SCKEG4837
Lineage: Eukaryota; Metazoa; Arthropoda; Insecta; Lepidoptera; Noctuidae
Description: partial 16S large subunit ribosomal RNA
Source: RNAcentral